UACGGAGGGUGCGAGCGUUGUCCGGAAUCACUGGGCGUAAAGGGCGCGUAGGCGGCCUGAUAAGUAGGGGGUGAAAUCCUGCGGCUUAACCGCAGGGCUGCCUUCUAAACUGUCAGGCUCGAGCACAGUAGAGGCAGGUGGAAUUCCCGGUGUAGCGGUGGAAUGCGUAGAGAUCCGGAAGAACACCGGUGGCGAAGGCGGCCUGCUGGGCAGUAGCUGACACUGAGGCGCGACAGCGUGGGGAGCAAACAGG
This 253-nucleotide ribosomal RNA is filed under the name uncultured bacterium. RNAcentral's name for it is "partial 16S ribosomal RNA". It matches the Rfam family "Bacterial small subunit ribosomal RNA", at positions 524 to 776 of the family's 1533-position model. The record is from RNAcentral.